Molecule: ribosomal RNA, 908 nt
Filed under: uncultured Actinomycetales bacterium
Lineage: Bacteria; Bacillati; Actinomycetota; Actinomycetes; Actinomycetales
Description: bacterial SSU rRNA
Rfam family: Bacterial small subunit ribosomal RNA
Source: RNAcentral
AUGCAAGUCGAACGAUGAAGCUGGAGCUUGCUCCGGUGGAUUAGUGGCGAACGGGUGAGUAACACGUGAGCAAUCUGCCCUUGACUCUGGGAUAACUGCGGGAAACUGUAGCUAAUACCGGAUACGAGACUUGGAGGCAUCUCCAGGUCUGGAAAGAAUUUCGGUCAAGGAUGAGCUCGCGGCCUAUCAGCUAGUUGGUGAGGUAAUGGCUCACCAAGGCGACGACGGGUAGCCGGCCUGAGAGGGUGACCGGCCACACUGGGACUGAGACACGGCCCAGACUCCUACGGGAGGCAGCAGUGGGGAAUAUUGCACAAUGGGCGAAAGCCUGAUGCAGCAACGCCGCGUGAGGGAUGAAGGCCUUCGGGUUGUAAACCUCUUUUAGCAGGGAAGAAGCGAAAGUGACGGUACCUGCAGAAAAAGCACCGGCUAACUACGUGCCAGCAGCCGCGGUAAUACGUAGGGUGCAAGCGUUGUCCGGAAUUAUUGGGCGUAAAGAGCUCGUAGGCGGUUUGUCGCGUCUGCUGUGAAAAUCCGAGGCUCAACCUCGGACUUGCAGUGGGUACGGGCAGACUAGAGUGCAGUAGGGGAGAAGGGAAUUCCUGGUGUAGCGGUGGAAUGCGCAGAUAUCAGGAGGAACACCGAUGGCGAAGGCACUUCUCUGGGCUGUAACUGACGCUGAGGAGCGAAAGCGUGGGGAGCGAACAGGAUUAGAUACCCUGGUAGUCCACGCCGUAAACGUUGGGCGCUAGAUGUGGGCCACAUUCCACGUGGUCCGUGUCGCAGCUAACGCAUUAAGCGCCCCGCCUGGGGAGUACGGCCGCAAGGCUAAAACUCAAAGGAAUUGACGGGGGCCCGCACAAGCGGCGGAGCAUGCGGAUUAAUUCGAUGCAACGCGAAGAACCUUA